GCCCUGGUGGUGAAAUGGUAGACACGAGGGACUUAAAAUCCCUUGGGCCGAAAGGCCCGUGCGGGUUCGAUUCCCGCCCGGGGCA
RNAcentral lists this transfer RNA (85 nucleotides) under Bacteroidales bacterium. RNAcentral's name for it is "tRNA-Leu". It matches the Rfam family "tRNA". From Rfam's summary of the family: Transfer RNA (tRNA) molecules are approximately 80 nucleotides in length. Their secondary structure includes four short double-helical elements and three loops (D, anti-codon, and T loops). The record is from RNAcentral. Lineage: Bacteria; Pseudomonadati; Bacteroidota; Bacteroidia; Bacteroidales.